GGGGAGUUAGCUCACAUGGUAGAGCGCUUGCUUAGCACACGAGAAGUAGUAGGAUAGAGCCCGCAUUCUCCA
RNAcentral lists this transfer RNA (72 nucleotides) under Alligator mississippiensis (American alligator). It matches the Rfam family "tRNA". From Rfam's summary of the family: Transfer RNA (tRNA) molecules are approximately 80 nucleotides in length. Their secondary structure includes four short double-helical elements and three loops (D, anti-codon, and T loops). Lineage: Eukaryota; Metazoa; Chordata; Crocodylia; Alligatoridae. The record is from Rfam by way of RNAcentral.